Molecule: ribosomal RNA, 460 nt
Filed under: uncultured bacterium
Lineage: Bacteria
Description: partial 16S ribosomal RNA
Rfam family: Bacterial small subunit ribosomal RNA
Source: RNAcentral
CCUACGGGUGACUGCAGUGAGGAAUAUUGGUCAAUGGCCGGAAGGCUGAACCAGCCAUGCCGCGUGAAGGUCAGUGCCCUAUGGGCGUUAAACUUCUUUUGUGCGGGAGCAAUAAUGGUCACGUGUGGCCAGACUAGAGUACCGUACGAAUAAGCAUCGGCUAACUCCGUGCCCGCAGCCGCGGUAAUACGGGGGAUACAAGCGUUAUCCGGAUUUAUUGGGUUUAAAGGGUGCGUAGGCUGUGAGGUAAGUCAGCGGUGAAAUGCCCCCGCUCAACGGGGUGAAGUGCCAUUGAUACUGCCUUGCUGGAAUGCGGAUGCAGUGGGAGGAAUGUGUGGUGUAGCGGUGAAAUGCAUAGAUAUCACACAGAACACCGAUUGCGAAGGCAUCACACGAAUCCGCGAUUGACGCUGAUGCACGAAAGCGUGGGUAUCAAACAGGAUUAGAUACCCCGGUAGUC